GAUGAAGAACGUAGCGAAAUGCGAUAAGUAAUGUGAAUUGCAGAAUUCAGUGAAUCAUCGAAUCUUUGAACGCUCAUUGCGCCCGUCAGUAUUCUGGCGGGCAUGCCUGUUCGAGCGUCAUUACGCCCCUCAAGUCCCCUGUGGACUUGGUGUUGGGGAUCGGCGAGGCUGGUUUUCCAGCACAGCCGUCCCUUAAAUUAAUUGGCGGUCUCGCCGUGGCCCUCCUCUGCGCAGUAGUAAAACACUCGCAACAGGAGCCCGGCGCGGUCCACUGCCGUAAAACCCCCCAACUUUUUAUAGUUGACCUCGAAUCAGGUAGGACUACCCGCUGAACUUAAGCAUAUCAAUAAGCGGAGGA
Molecule: unclassified non-coding RNA, 358 nt
Filed under: soil metagenome
Description: partial contains 5.8S ribosomal RNA, internal transcribed spacer 2, and large subunit ribosomal RNA
Rfam family: 5.8S ribosomal RNA (bases 1-120)
Source: RNAcentral